CCCUUAGAUGUUCUGGGCCGCACGCGCGCUACACUGACUACUUCAACGAGUUGUUUCCUUGAUCGAAAGGUCUGGGUAAUCUUUGAAAGGUAGUCGUGAUGGGGAUAGAUCCUUGCAAUUUUUGAUCUUCAACGAGGAAUUCCUAGUAAACGCAAGUCAUCAGCUUGCAUUGAUUACGUCCCUGCCCUUUGUACACACCGCCCGUCGCACCUACCGAUUGAAUGGUCCGGUGAAUCUUUAGGGCUGUGGCUGAGGCCUUGCCUUGUGCGGGUCUGGCCGUGGGAAUUUAGUUAAACCUUACCAUUUAGAGGAAGGUGAAGUCGUAACA
RNAcentral lists this ribosomal RNA (328 nucleotides) under uncultured eukaryote. Its description in RNAcentral is "partial 18S ribosomal RNA". It matches the Rfam family "Eukaryotic small subunit ribosomal RNA", at positions 1470 to 1796 of the family's 1831-position model. The record is from RNAcentral.